AUAGAUGUAGCCUAAUGGGUAAGGCACUACAUUUGGGAUGUAGAAAAUGUAGGUUCGAGUCCUAUCAUCUAUA
Molecule: transfer RNA, 73 nt
Filed under: Crassvirales sp.
Lineage: Duplodnaviria; Heunggongvirae; Uroviricota; Caudoviricetes; Crassvirales
Description: tRNA-Pro
Rfam family: tRNA
About the family: Transfer RNA (tRNA) molecules are approximately 80 nucleotides in length. Their secondary structure includes four short double-helical elements and three loops (D, anti-codon, and T loops).
Source: RNAcentral